Long non-coding RNA from Formica exsecta, 1262 nucleotides. RefSeq lists it as uncharacterized. NCBI's taxonomy places the organism in Eukaryota, Metazoa, Arthropoda, Insecta, Hymenoptera, Formicidae. The transcript has 4 exons. The record is from RefSeq and is a predicted model, not a curated record.
CCUCGCUUACGUCUCACGCCGCGUACUUUUCAGCCUGGCUGUACGUCAAGCGGCCGCUCGUGGCUGCCGGUGGCGUCCACAGUACAGUCUGCGCGCGUCGCUCCACGGCGGCGCUUCCGGAAAAAUCACUUUCGCCGUGCGAUAACUUCGCAUCGCGGGCACGAAUACGGAUACUAUAUACACCAAAUCGGGUCAACUUUUUUUUCUCUACAAUUUUCUUAUCACGCCCCUGGCGCAAUAUUGCGAUUUAACGGCUCGAUACGCGACUUCCCCAUGCGAGCCGCGCGAAAGUUUUCCUGCCGACUGUACGAGCGUUGGAUGUAUAUUAAAAUCGCAAAUUUUACGUUGGAACACAUGUAGCGGAUAUCUUUUCAUUCAAGGGAGCCAGGCAAGUUCAUGGUCGCUAUUUUCGGCAGAGAGGAGAGAGUAGGAUCGAAGCGGUGGCGAAAGUAGUGGAGCCGGGAGGAGUCAGCCGCAGCGAAGUAAAGAGAUGAACGUCGGAAAUUACAACUCUGCUUUGCACAUCUAUUGAAUCGCUACAAUUUUGCCAGAACGCAACCGGUUUCGUUGAAGCACGGCGGGAACACACACAACCAGAAUCCAGUGUUGCCAACCAUUAUAAAAAUUUCCCCCCCAAAGAACAGUCAAAAUUCCACCCAAAAACUCCUAAAAAUGUGUUUUUGAUAAUAAAAUGUCAAUCUAAUAUUUUCCCCCUGAAAUCGUCAACGGGUUUUACUUGUUUGAUGAUAAAUAAGUAUUUAUUAAAUGAAACAAAUAUAUAUUAAUAUAAAAGUUUUAUUUAUUACUAAUAAAAUUUAGAAUCACAACAGUGAAAAAAAUCUUUUUCAUUAUUAGGUAGAAAUAUCUAAUCAAUAUCAUUUGUUAUGUUUUUUUAUGUGCCACUGGCCUUAAUAAUAUUACCUCCCAAAAAAAAACCCUAGACAUAUUUACCCCCCAAAAAUGCCCCCAAACCCAAACCUAACCUAAAUCUAGGGAGUUAUUUUAAAAUCCUAAAAUCCCUAAGUUGACACCACUGCCGGAAUUGGGCGAACUAUUCGCGACUCUUAUUAACUCUAACUCGCGUUUUUUAAGGACGAGCGUUCUCGUGUACGAAAUACAAUGUAUGAACGAAACGAGCAUCGUCAACAGCUCGGCGCGCCGCUUCGUUUGUUACGCGCGACGAAGAUGGAAUUAAUUCGAAGCCCCCGAGGGGCGGAUUCUCGUGAAUUGCAUCAAGUAUACUGAGGCUUUGUGACCGACGC